Long non-coding RNA from Sinocyclocheilus grahami, 678 nucleotides. RefSeq lists it as uncharacterized. The transcript has 2 exons. Lineage: Eukaryota; Metazoa; Chordata; Actinopteri; Cypriniformes; Cyprinidae. The record is from RefSeq and is a predicted model, not a curated record.
UGUCUAUGUGUGUAUGUCAGGCUCUGGUUCUUUGAGAGCAAAGUUCGAGCUGUCUGAUGGUCCAUCCAUCCCUGCCACCCUGGCUGUUCAGUUCUUCAGCGAGGGCAGCACUCUGUCUGGUGUAGAUGUGGAACUGGUUGGCUCCGGUUACCGACUCUCCCUCAAUAAGAAGAGAUUUGCCACUGGCCGCUAUAUGGCUGACUGCUGAGAUCUGAGUAGAGGCCUGUCCGCUCUCAAAUGCCAGGAACCUGGAGGUUCAUUUCUGUUCUUUCAUUAAUUCUGUCACUGCUUCUCAAUGAUAAUUAUGGAGGAUCAUUAGGGGGGAUGGGAAAAGAGAGCUGUCUGCGUGAAGGCCUCUCAUGCUUCUGUUUUCUCUCCACAUUCUGAACGAUCCAGUUCCAGUGAAUUAUAUUCUGGAGACUCGAGAUUUUUAUAUUACAGUAACGUAGCACUGAGUAUCAAACACUGUGUACAAAGAAAAAAUUAAAAAAAGAAAAGAAAAAAGAAGGAAUGUCCGGAUAUUGGUGAAUGAAAUCAUUAAUCUUUGAUACUUUUUGAUCAAUUCAGACUUUUAUAAAGUCAGACUGUUAGUGUUUGUUAUUUUGAAAUGUAUAGUUAACAAUUUGCAUUAUGAAUUAGAGGUGUAUAAACAUAUAGCAUAUCUAAGCAAAAAAAAAA